CAGAAGCAGAAUAGUCAAGGAAGGUCCCAUGGAGGCAGCCAGAUCCAAUGUGAGCACUGAACAGUGGAGGAUGUGAUCACAGGGAAAAGAGGGAAGUCAUGAAAUCCAGGGAAUACACAGAGACAGAAUCUCUCAAGGACCUGAAGAAUGGUUGAGGAAACACUGAAAGGAGAAGAUCACAGACCCACCAGGAGGAGAGUGCACCAGGCCAAGCACUGGUCCUCAGGGGUCCCUUCAUGACCUGCCCCUGAAAACUUCACUUCAGCCCAGUCACCUGAACCAAGACCAGAGGACCACCUCCAGGCGGAGCCACUCUAGGAGCCCUUAUCUUUAGGGACAGCAAACACAACCCCCAUUCCAACCACUUGGGCUCACAGCCAUA
Molecule: long non-coding RNA, 382 nt
Organism: Zalophus californianus (California sea lion)
Lineage: Eukaryota; Metazoa; Chordata; Mammalia; Carnivora; Otariidae
Exons: 4
Source: RefSeq, a predicted model, not a curated record